CUAAGUUUUCAGAGAAAUGGUAGUAUUUGUAUAACAGUAUAACAGAGCAAAGAAAAAAAUACAGGCAGGUAGAGCAUUAAAUUCUCAAUAGUAGGACAUAAACAUAAUGCAAAAAUUUUAUCGUAAAGUAUAUUUAAAAAAAUUUCAAACUUUUACCAAUUUGCACUCUGUCCCAUAUUUUUCAAAACGCUGCUAAUACGGUCACAGAUGCAACAAAAACGUAAGGAAGAAAAUUGUAGAGAAUUGAAUUUCCUACAAAAAAGUCAGCGUAACUAUGUUUCUAUCUUCAACCGUUUAGGCCCCAAAGUAAUUCAAAAUCUCCCAAGCGACGGAUUUGCUUCAUUUUGCCGAUGGUCAAGUAUUGGAAGUUAAUUUAUACCUAAACCGUUGGAGAUCGAAAUAUGUUGUCGCGGACUUUUUUGUAGAGAAUUUAAUUCUCUACAACUUUGUUCCUCACACUUUUUUUCUAUCUUCAACCGUAUUCACAGCGUUCGCAAAAUUGUGAUAAUUCUUUGCGCACCGUCGCAUAUUUAUCAAAACGCUGGGAAUACGGUUCAAGAUACAAAAAAAGUGUAAGGAACAAAGUAAGAACAAAUCAAACUCAGUCAGUUUGACACAAGUGACGCAUUUUUCAUGAAUGAAACAUCGAUUUUCACACUCGACAAGACCUUGAGCCGAACAUUUGAGAGAUUAUGGGCUUGAAUAACCUGAGCAAGCGAGUGGAAUGGUCUAGGGCAGAAUCGAUCUAUGACGAAAUUUGCAAAAACUGAACAGGAAGUUGAUGAAUUAAUUCUCGCAAAUGACCGGCUUGAACCAGUGUGGAUUAAGCAGUUGUAAUUUAGUCUCUCUGGAUUGGGGUCACACCCAGGCGGCGGCCCGGACCUGGGGCAUGAAAACCGCACGUGAUUCAGCACGUUUCGGGCCAUAAUGAGCUUUAAAAUCUUGUGCACUAAACCAAUUAGAGCCACUUAGAGCUUCAGUUCGCAAACAUACCUCAGCGUAGUGAUGGUGGACACCGUGUUCUUUGAGAGCUUCGCUCAAGUCGUGGAUGUCAAUCUUGCCGUUUCCGUCUUUGUCCAGUUGCUUGAAGAGUUUCCCGAGACGUUCCUCAUCUUCGAUUGGUAGCUCAUGCAGGUAGUGUGGAGGACGAUGAGAAAAGGGAAUGUCUUCGUACUGCGACAGUUUAUUCGGCAUUUUCACAUCAAAACCACUCCCGAUGCAACACCAAGAGCUAAUUUAUGACGAUUUUUGGUGGAAAAGCAACUAAUGCAAUGCCGCAAUGCGACUUCGCGAAAA
This is a long non-coding RNA of Tribolium castaneum (red flour beetle), 1296 nucleotides long. RefSeq lists it as uncharacterized. The record is from RefSeq and is a predicted model, not a curated record. The transcript is spliced from 2 exons. NCBI's taxonomy places the organism in Eukaryota, Metazoa, Arthropoda, Insecta, Coleoptera, Tenebrionidae.